RNAcentral lists this ribosomal RNA (1394 nucleotides) under uncultured Lactobacillus sp. RNAcentral's name for it is "bacterial SSU rRNA". It matches the Rfam family "Bacterial small subunit ribosomal RNA", at positions 13 to 1369 of the family's 1533-position model. The record is from RNAcentral. Lineage: Bacteria; Bacillati; Bacillota; Bacilli; Lactobacillales; Lactobacillaceae.
UUGAUCCUGGCUCAGGACGAACGCUGGCGGCGUGCCUAAUACAUGCAAGUCGAGCGAGCCGAACUAAUUGAUUACCUUCGGGUAUGAAGUUAGGGAAGCGAGCGGCGGAUGGGUGAGUAACACGUGGGUAACCUACCCUAUAGUCUGGGAUACCACUUGGAAACAGGUGCUAAUACCAGAUAAAAGGAGAGAUCACAUGAUUUCUUUUUGAAAGGCGGCGUAAGCUGUCGCUAAAGGAUGGACCCGCGGUGCAUUAGCUAGUUGGUAAGGUAACGGCUUACCAAGGCAACGAUGCAUAGCCGAGUUGAGAGACUGAUCGGCCACAUUGGGACUGAGACACGGCCCAAACUCCUACGGGAGGCAGCAGUAGGGAAUCUUCCACAAUGGACGCCAAGUUCUGAUGGAGCAACGCCCGGCGUGAAGUGAAGAAGGUUUUCGGAUCGUAAAGCUCUGUGUUGGUGAAGAAAGAUAGUGAGAGUACUGCUCAUUAUUUGCCGGUAAUCAACAGAAAGUCACGGCUAACUACGUGCCAGCAGCCGCGGUAAUACGUAGGUGGCAAGCGUUGUCCCGGAUUUAAUGGGCGUAAAGCGAGCGCAGGCGGAAAGAUAAGUCAGAUGUGAAAGCCCUCGGCUUAACCGAGGAAUAGCAUCGGAAACUGUCUUUCUUGAGUGCAGAAGAGGAGAGUGGAACUCCAUGUGUAGCGGUGGAAUGCGUAGAUAUAUGGAAGAACACCAGUGGCGAAGGCGGCUCUCUGGUCUGUAACUGACGCUGAGGCUCGAAAGCAUGGGUAGCGAACAGGAUUAGAUACCCUGGUAGUCCAUGCUGUAAACGAUGAGUGCUAAGUGUUGGGAGGUUUCCGCCUCUCAGUGCUGCAGCUAACGCAUUAAGCACUCCGCCUGGGGAGUACGACCGCAAGGUCAAAACUCAAAGGAAUUGACGGGGGCCCGCACAAGCGGUGGAGCAUGGUGGUUUAAUUCGAAGCAACGCGAAGAACCUUACCAGGUCUUGACAUCUAGUGCCAACCUAAGAGAUUAGGCGUUCCCUUCGGGGACACUAAGACAGUGGUGCAUGGCUGUCGUCAGCUCGUGUCGUGAGAUGUUGGUUAAGUCCCGCAACGAGCGCACCCGUUAUUUAUUAGGUUGCCCAGGCAUUAAGUUGGGCACUCUAAUGAGACUGCCGGUGACAAACCGGAGGAAGGUGGGGAUGACGUCAAGUCAUCAUGCCCCUUAUGACCUGGGCUACACACGUGCUACAAUGGGCAGUACAACGAGGAGCGAACUUGUGAAGGCAAGCGAAUCUCUGAAAGCUGUUCUCAGUUCGGACUGUAGGCUGCAACUCGCCUACACGAAGCUGGAAUCGCUAGUAAUCGCGGAUCAGCACGCCGCGGUGAAUAC